CUUAUAAAAGCAUAAAAUACAUAUAAACAAGUUAACUAUUUAAUAUUCUUACAAGCGUCUAACCAGGAGAUACCCUGAAACACUAUGGAACGGUUUGCCAGAUCGGGUCUGUGCCAUGAUCCAGUGGUAUUUGAUCGAGUAUUGCUCGGUCCCCCGACCACCAAUCAGGAUACUAUUUGGACAGUAAGGGCACUUGGUAAAGAGCUAUCCAGUUAUAUAUAAUGUGUUGGGUGCUUUCCUCCACAGAGUGCCAGGACCACGUUUUGUGAGACUGGGAGGGACAAACCAGCCGCAUACAUGGUACUCUGAGCCACAUCAGAG
Molecule: non-coding RNA, 321 nt
Organism: Pelobates cultripes (western spadefoot toad)
Lineage: Eukaryota; Metazoa; Chordata; Amphibia; Anura; Pelobatidae
Source: the annotation of a GenBank genome assembly